UUCGAUCUUGUUUCAUCGAAUUACCCAGCAAACAACAACCCAUCAAACUCCUUUGUUCCUAAAGCCAUCCAACUUCAAACACCAAGACUUGAAUUCGAUUCAAUUCCGACACUACCUAAUUUCGAUCGGGAAAGAUUACGACUCGUCUUUACCUCCGAAAUGAGCUCGUAUCAGUUGGUAUCAGAGCUAGCUAAAUUAGGUACGUAAAUCGUAGCUUCGAA
This 221-nucleotide long non-coding RNA is filed under the name Gossypium barbadense (sea-island cotton). RNAcentral describes it as "long non-coding RNA (GBAR_LNC022808)". Lineage: Eukaryota; Viridiplantae; Streptophyta; Magnoliopsida; Malvales; Malvaceae. The record is from RNAcentral.